CCUACGGGUGGCAGCAGUAGGGAAUAUUCGGCAAUGGGGGGAACCCUGACCGAGCAACGCCGCGUGAACGAAGAAGUUAUUCGUAAUGUAAAGUUCUUUUAACAGGGAAGAAAGAGAAAUCUGACGGUACCUGAAGAAUAAGCUCCGGCUAACUACGUGCCAGCAGCCGCGGUAAUACGUAGGGAGCGAGCGUUAUCCGGAAUUAUUGGGCGUAAAGGGUGCGUAGGUGGCAUAGUAAGUCUGUUGUAAAAAUGCGGGGCUCAACCCAGGAGGGCCAAAGAUACUGGAAAGCUAGAGUAUGACAGAGGCAAGUGGAACUACAUGUGUAGCGGUAGAAUGCGUAAAUAUAUGUAAGAACACCAGUGGCGAAGGCGGCUUGCUGGGUCGAUACUGACAUUGGGGGACGAAAGCGUGGGGAGCAAACAGGAUUAGAUACCCUUGUAGUC
This 446-nucleotide ribosomal RNA is filed under the name uncultured bacterium. RNAcentral's name for it is "partial 16S ribosomal RNA". It matches the Rfam family "Bacterial small subunit ribosomal RNA", at positions 338 to 795 of the family's 1533-position model. The record is from RNAcentral.